UUAGGGUUACCUCAUUCACACAUUUUGUAGAAUCUGGAAGUUUUUGAAGAGGUGUGGAUCGUCUGAGUCUAAAAUCAACAGUGAUGACAUGAAGAAGUGCACUUAACACGCCGGAGAGGGGUUAUUCGUUUGAUCUUGCACCUGAGAAGACUAUAACUUCAUUUGGACACCUGUGAUUGGCUAAUUUAUAACCGGUCACACCCAAGCUGGCAAAAGAUAACUACAAAUACUAGAGAGCACAAAUCUUGUCGUUGUUGUUGGGGUGUAUGAUAUGGAAGACCAUCUUACAGGAAAAAGAAUCAAAGACCAUUUUGCUAUAGGGCACACUUGAGAAUGGGUUGUAUCAACUCUAGACUCCAUCAACAAUAGCUUCCUAUUCUUCUACUGUUGUCCUUUAAUAUAUUUUUCUUGAAUCUA
Molecule: long non-coding RNA, 417 nt
Organism: Mangifera indica (mango)
Lineage: Eukaryota; Viridiplantae; Streptophyta; Magnoliopsida; Sapindales; Anacardiaceae
Exons: 3
Source: RefSeq, a predicted model, not a curated record